Molecule: ribosomal RNA, 421 nt
Filed under: uncultured bacterium
Lineage: Bacteria
Description: bacterial SSU rRNA
Rfam family: Bacterial small subunit ribosomal RNA
Source: RNAcentral
AGAGUUUGAUCCUGGCUCAGAAUCAACGCUGGCGGCGUGCCUAACACAUGCAAGUCGCACGAGAAAGGGACUUCGGUCCUGAGUACAGUGGCGCACGGGUGAGUAACACGUGAAUCUUCUACCUUCGAGUGGGGAAUAACUGAGAGAAAUCUUAGCUAAUACCGCAUAAUACCCACGGGUCAAAGCAGCAAUGCGCUUGAAGAGGAGUUCGCGGCAGAUUAGUUAGUUGGCGGGGUAAUGGCCCACCAAGACGAUGAUCUGUAUCCGGCCUGAGAGGGCGCACGGACACACUGGAACUGAAACACGGUCCAGACUCCUACGGGAGGCAGCAGUGGGGAAUUUUGCGCAAUGGGGGAAACCCUGACGCAGCAACGCCGCGUGGAGGAUGAAAUCCCUUGGGAUGUAAACUCCUUUCGAUAGG